CGCCUCCCGCUAAUUCAUGGGAGGCCCAGCCUGCCCAGUGACAUCGUUCAACGGCCUCGGUACCCUAACCGCGCGAAGGUAGCAUAAUCACUUGUUCUUUAAAUAGGGACUUGUAUCAACGGCACCACGAGGGCUAAACUGUCUCCCCUCUCCAAUCAAUGAACCUGAUCUCUUCGUGAAGAAGCGAAGAUUAACAUAUAAGACGAGAAGACCCCAUGGAGCUUAAAACCAAAUAACACCUCACUACCCACAGAACUUAAUAAAUAGUAAGCCUGUUAGCUAGUUUUCGGCUGGGGCAUCCAAGGAGUAUAACACAACCUCCUUGAAAAAAAUCUAAGAGCCACAACUCUAUGAAACAGUAAUCUGAUCUAAAACGACCCGACCCAAUUCGAUCAACGAACCAAGUUACCCUGGGGAUAACAGCGCAAUCCACUUCAAGAGCCCCUAUCGACAAGUGGGUUUACGACCUCGAUGUUGGAUCAGGGUACCCCAGUGGUGCAGCGCGCUACUAAAGGUUCGUUUGUUCAACGAUUAAAAC
RNAcentral lists this ribosomal RNA (538 nucleotides) under Phrynobatrachus auritus (eared river frog). Its description in RNAcentral is "partial 16S ribosomal RNA". It matches the Rfam family "Bacterial large subunit ribosomal RNA", at positions 1817 to 2594 of the family's 2925-position model. The record is from RNAcentral. Lineage: Eukaryota; Metazoa; Chordata; Amphibia; Anura; Phrynobatrachidae.